GGCCAGAUUGGGGCGCUAGAGUAGGGAAUUACUGGGUGGGGGUUUUUAUUUUUUAUUCCUGUUAUGAUUCCGUAUUCAGUGUUCCAUGCUUAUUACGAAUCUGUGUGCUUUCCUCUGCUUUCCUCUGUUUUAUAUUCCUUAUGGGUGCCGUAUUUAUGUUAUGUCAUCUGCUUCUGUGCUUUACUAUGUGUUUGUGUGAUAUCUUGUGCCUGAGCCGGGGGUCUUUCGGAAACAGCCUUUCUACUUCAUCAGAGGUAGAGGUAUGGACUGCGUACAUCUUACCCCCCAGACCCCACUAAGUGGGAAUACACUGGGUUUGUUGUUGUUGUUGUAAUUUCUUAGGUGGCAAUGACCUGACACUGAUUUGGCACUGACAUAGCGUGUGUGUAACCCACUCUGUGAGAGUGGUAUUCAGUUUUGAGGGGUGAAAUAAAUACACUUUAAAGAUGUUAAGAGGAUAAAUAAAGAAGUUAAAUUUAAGUGUUAAAAUGAGUUUGGAGGACAAGUUAAGGGGAAAAGAUGUCUUUUCUGUAUAGGCACUAGAAAAAUAACUAAAAACAAAAAAAAACACCCUAGCGAUGAAACAAAAUUGAUUUUUGAUGAUCAACAUUGAAUGGAAUCAUUCAGCAGUUUGUUACAACAUACACAUUAGUCUUAAAAAAGAGGACAACCUGACAAUUCGGUGUACUAAAACUCUUGUUAUACGCGGGAUUUGAAAAAAGACUAAACCUACCUUACAUUUUUAUCUGAAGUUGUUUUCAGUAGUCCAAUUAAAUAAAAAAUGUGUCCAAAUAUAAGAAAAACAGCAAACAAAUAAAGAGAAAAACCAAAACCAAAACUAAAACAGUCAGAAAGAAUUCUCACAUGCUAGAAUACAAACACAUUAAUCAACGUACACCAACAUGUCAAGAAAGUUCAUUUUAACAGAAACAAAUAGCUAAACAAAAAGGAAAAAUAACAAAAACACACCUUACCAGCAGUAAGCAGAAUGCUGCAAAAGCUUGAAACAACAUGCACAUUAGUUAGAUCAAACAAAAGAAAAGAUGAUUUUAUUUUGAAUGUACCCCCAAAUGAAUCUUGAAAUAGAAGAAAAGAUUAAAAUUGAAAGAGUCCAUGUGGCGGCGGAAGAAAGAUGAUUUUAUUUUGUUGGGUUAGAAAAGUGUUGAGGAAAAAAUAGAUGUUGAUAUAGGCAAAUUAGUAGUAGUAAUAAAAACUAUUUAUGAAUUGUAAGUUAUUGAUUGUAAGUCACCUCUUAUAAAAAAAAAAACAAAGGAUUUAUUAGCACAUAAUAACUAUACGAUACUAAAUUUACUAUACUUGGAUGAUACUUAAAACUCUUUUACACACUUUCCAACUCUUGGACUACAAAAAGAAGAGGUGAUAUAGGAUCAAUUAAAUCUCUUAUUUAUUUUUUAUUUUGAGAGACUAAAUGUUAUUCACGUGUAAAACUACCUCCUUUUUAAACAAUUUUGAGUAAAAAAUCAAAUUUAGAGCUUAAAGUUAAAUUCAUUAUUUUUAAGGUAUAUAAAUUAGUAUAUAUUAC
This 1543-nucleotide long non-coding RNA is filed under the name Capsicum annuum. RNAcentral describes it as "long non-coding RNA (CANN_LNC012086)". Lineage: Eukaryota; Viridiplantae; Streptophyta; Magnoliopsida; Solanales; Solanaceae. The record is from RNAcentral.